This 428-nucleotide ribosomal RNA is filed under the name Verrucomicrobiota bacterium. Its description in RNAcentral is "Verrucomicrobia bacterium partial 16S ribosomal RNA". It matches the Rfam family "Bacterial small subunit ribosomal RNA", at positions 355 to 776 of the family's 1533-position model. The record is from RNAcentral. Lineage: Bacteria; Pseudomonadati; Verrucomicrobiota.
UGGGGAAUCUUCCGCAAUGGACGAAAGUCUGACGGAGCAACGCCGCGUGAGUGAAGACGGCCUUCGGGUUGUAAAGCUCUGUGAUUCGGGACGAAAGGCCAUAUGUGAAUAAUAUAUGGAAAUGACGGUACCGAAAAAGCAAGCCACGGCUAACUACGUGCCAUCAGCCGCGGUAAUACGUAGGUGGCAAGCGUUGUCCGGAAUUAUUGGGCGUAAAGCGCGCGCAGGCGGUCACUUAAGUCCAUCUUAGAAGUGCGGGGCUUAACCCCGUGAUGGGAUGGAAACUGGGAGACUGGAGUAUCGGAGAGGAAAGUGGAAUUCCUAGUGUAGCGGUGAAAUGCGUAGAUAUUAGGAAGAACACCGGUGGCGAAGGCGACUUUCUGGACGAAAACUGACGCUGAGGCGCGAAAGCGUGGGGAGCAAACAGG